RNAcentral lists this ribosomal RNA (262 nucleotides) under uncultured bacterium. RNAcentral's name for it is "partial 16S ribosomal RNA". It matches the Rfam family "Bacterial small subunit ribosomal RNA", at positions 509 to 770 of the family's 1533-position model. The record is from RNAcentral.
CAGCAGCCGCGGUAAUACAGAGGUCUCAAGCGUUGUUCGGAGUCAGUGGGCGUAAAGGGUGCGUAGGCGGUGACGUAAGGUGGAUGUGAAAUCCCGGAGCUUAACUCCGGAACUGCAUUCAAUACUGCGUUGCUAGAGUACUGGAGAGGAGAUUGGAAUUCACGGUGUAGCAGUGAAAUGCGUAGAUAUCGUGAGGAAGACCAGUGGCGAAGGCGAAUCUCUGGACAGUUACUGACGCUGAGGCACGAAGGCCAGGGGAGCA